CAGUCGCCGCGGUAAUACGAAGGGUGCAAGCGUUAAUCGGAAUUACUGGGCGUAAAGCGCGCGUAGGUGGUUUGUUAAGUUGGAUGUGAGAUCCCCGGGCUCAACCUGGGAACCGCAUUCAAAACUGACUGACUAGAGUAUGGUAGAGGGUGGUGGAAUUCCCGGUGUAGCGGUGAAAUGCGUAGAGAUCGGGAGGAACAUCAGUGGCGAAGGCGGCCAUCUGGGACAACACUGACGCUGAGGCACGAAAACGUGGGGAGCAAACAGGAUUAGAUACCCCCGUAGUCCCUGUCUCUUAUAC
This 301-nucleotide ribosomal RNA is filed under the name uncultured bacterium. RNAcentral's name for it is "partial 16S ribosomal RNA". It matches the Rfam family "Bacterial small subunit ribosomal RNA", at positions 509 to 807 of the family's 1533-position model. The record is from RNAcentral.